UGAAGCCUCUUUCUGCGUCCUCGGCCUCGAAGAGGACUCUUGUCCCUGCUCUCAACAUGCGUUUGUGGUAUGCUCCUCAUCUCGAGUUGCCUAACGGGGUGGUCUUGAAAGGAGCGACUCUGGUUGCGAUCCGGCCGAGCGAGCAGCCCAAGAAGGAGGUGGCGGGAUCGGAGGCAAAUUGGGUUGCAUCGGCAUUUGAGGAGCCAUUUGGGACUGCUGCAAGGAUGUUGGUGAAGAGGAGGACCUACUGCCUCGAAAUGAACUCUUUCUGAAGGAGGGGCCUUGUUUGAGAUGAUGAGACAGAUGCAUGAGGUACUUCCCUUUUUUAUGAUGUGGUUGAAUGCUAGGAGUAUAUUGUAUUCUCUGUUUUCUGUUGCUUUUUUCCCAUUCCCUUCGAAGUUAUAUUAUCAAUUAUCUUGUUUAUUGUCUCUUGUUAGUUUAUUCUUGUUAAUGUUUCAAUGAUAGUAAACCGCUCUGUGUAGGUUUCUGAAAAUCAUGGGUGUCAUAUUCUUGAUUAAUAAGUUCUGUUACCAAUUGCAUAUGGUUUUGCACUAAAUUACACAUUGGAUCCCCUAUUACAUAAGAGAGGUGCUUGAAGUAUGUCUUAAUCUAAAUAGUUUUGCCAGUCUGGUUCCAAUAAUUUCCUGAUAUUAGAGAUAUUAUCUUGCAUUCUGCCAUAUUUCAUGCUAUUUUCUUGGUUCUUCAUCUGUUUUGAAAUUUGAUUGUUUACAAAUGAAGAUGCUUGUUGUAAUACUGUUUCAUUGGUUCUGCAUCUUAUCAAUUGAGGUUGGAAGGGCACCGUCUAUCUCCAUUUCUAGAAAGCUAGGUGAAAUUUUCGUUCCGUUGUGAUGCAUCUGUCAUCUGGCUGGGACAUUGUGAAUGCGUUGUGAUUGUGAUUAUGGCAAACCAAUACGAAGUUGAAUGACUUAAGAGUUCUGCCAUGAUAACCUUUUAAUGUCUUCCAUUUCUCAAUUAACGUUGUAAGCUUGUUAUUAUUCAUGCCUAAGCUGCUAUGCCCAACCACUUUCUCUGUUCACGGAUUUCGCGUUUGCACUCUAGUUUUUGGGGAAUUCUGUGCUGCCACUGCGAUAUUGUCAUCUCUUAUAAGCUCUUCUUUCUUUAAAUACUGAUCUUUUUCUCCCUAAUCUAUUGGUAAUUCUGAUUUCUUUGUUCUAUACAAGGAUCUUUCAGGUAGAGUGUGGCAACGGAAGGUCCCAAAAGCGCAGAGCACGAAUUUUGUCUUGAGCAGAGCAAGCUGCAAGCCAGUUGCCGGCCAAGUUCAUACGGCUUCCGGUUACGACGUUGGUGGUUGAUGAAGAGCCUGCAAUUGAUGAUCAAACUGCUUUCAUUUUGAAUACUUUAAAGAGGGGGGGUGCUAUGCAACUGGAUAAUCAUGUUGUAAGAGUUAUGAGAUUUUGAUAAUCUGUCUGUGUUAGUUAUAUGUAUAUGUGAAUAUUGUAGGUAUGAUAUGACCAUCUAUGCUUAUCUGCUCUCCUUUUUCUGAAAGGUUCAGCUGCAUAUUAUAUUUUAGCUGAUUUACCCACCAAUAAAUGUCAAAACGCCUCUUCAUUUCUAUUAAUCAAGGAUAUUUUGUAGUUCAAUCUUCAUUUGUUUAUUUCUGCUAGGGUAGCAAAAUGAUUUUAUUUACUCAAUUCUUCGAUAUUUUUUCUAUGGUAUUAUCCUUUGAUUGUGACUGCCAUUUUCUCCACACCCUUCUAUUCUUCAUCAAUCAUCACUGCGCUAUAUAAUUAAAAGGACUAUAAAACAAAAUGAACAUAUAAAAAUAGUUGAUAUUAUAUGCAAAACCCUACUAUUCUUUUUACGGAGACUACGAAGUCAAAAAACAUAAUUAAUUUUGAAAAAUUAUAGUACUCUUUUCAGUAUACAAAAAAUUUGUCAUAUAUAUAUUUUUUCCGAUCUGUUCACGAAAACAUGUUAUUUAUAUUUAUAAUAGUAGAGUUCACACAACUUCACACACAUUAAAAUUGAGACUCUAGCUCUAUUAAAAAUUUUAUUCGCAUUUUAUUAAAAUUUAUGCUAUCUAUAAUGUGACAAUUUUUUUUGUGGACAGAUGAAUAGGUGUAACAAACGGAUUAUGUAAUUACUACUCCCCGUCCACGAAAAAUAAAAAUACUAGUUUCUUUUUAUUAUUUUGGGGUAUCCACGAAAAUUGAUCUCUAUACAUUAUUGAAAACUUUCUAUCAAGUGGUGAACUAUUUUCGCUACUCACAAUACAAUUAAUUAUCAUUAUUAAUAUUAUUUUUUUAAAUGAGACUCCUCUAUUUGUGAUACACUCAAUUAUUUUUAUUAAAAUUUGUGUCAUCCUCUUCUAUGACUAUUUUUUUGUGGACAAAUAGAUUAUUUGUGAGUAUAUUUUGGUAAAAAAAAAACGGUUGAAAACUUGAAAUCACACAUGUAUGAAUCAUUGAAUUGGAUCCUCUUCUUCAAUAUCAAUUCAGUGAAAUCUUGGAGACUCGAAUUAUUAGUGUUAGUAGGUAAAAAUGCCCACUUUGUUAAGUGUAAAAUUAAAAAUCUCACUUUUUAUAAAAACUUGAUCAUAUGCCCAAAUUAAAGUGAUGAAUCGAAAUUAUCCUUGGAUGUUGAUGAUUUUGCAUCAACUUUUGUGUAACUUUUUCUGAUACAAAUACAAAUAUUUAAGAAAAAUAUAAGAAAAAGUAGUCUGCUGUCGGAAAAGUAGGUUGUCACUCGAGCGGCAACCUACUUAGUGAGGUUGCCGCUCGUACGACAAGCUACUUUUUUGACCGGUAAGCUACAUUUUUAAUUGAAAAUUUUAAUUUGUUACAAGAAAAAGUAGGUUGCCGCUCGGGAGGCAACCUACUUAGUGAGGUUGCCAAUCGAGCGACAACCUACUUUUCCGACAACUGACUACUCCCUCCGUCCGCCAAAAAUAUGACACUUUGGCUGGGCACGAGAUUUAAUAAAAUUGGUAAUAAUGUUGAUGUAGUGGAGAAAUGGUCUCACAAUUUUAUGAGAUGUGUGGUUGAAAUUGAAUUUGAGGUGAAUUUUUUGUAAAUAAAGAGUGUUUGUAAGGAUAAAAUAUAAAAAUGGAUGGUGGGACCAUUGCCUUAAAAGGAAAGUUGUAUAAUCUUUGCGGACGCCCAAUAUAGUAAUUGUGUCAUACUUUUGGCGGACAUAUGAGAUAUUUUUUAUCUUACAAGUACACUGAUUGAGACAUGAAGGGUAGUUUAGGUAUUUUGAGUAUAUGAUUAAGUUUUUAUAAUAUGUGGAUAUUUUUAAUUUUUGACUUAACCAAAUAGGCAUAAAAAAUUCCGCCUCCGAAUUAUUAGUUACUAGAAAAUUAAAAGAGAAGAAAAGAAAAAAGAAGAAAAGAAAAUACUAGUAUAAUAUAGAAAAAAUACAGUAUAAAAAUAAAACGGAACGACAGGCAGCAAUGUCGUUUGGGAAUUCAACUGUCCCAGGCUCCGCAUAUCUACUGUCAUAGGCUCAUAGCCAUAGGCACUUAAAAAGCAAAGAAAAAAAAGAAAGAAAAAAACGAGAAGAAAGAAAAACACGCACAACACACACCACACCACCAUUUUCCUCUUCCUCCUCCUUCACUCACUUCUCCCAAAUUCCCCCCACCUCAUUAAACUCCCACCCUAAUUCCACAAAUCCAAACUCUCUCCCUCUCUCUCUCAGAUCCAUUGAGUUUGUUUGACUCAAUUUCUUCCUUCACAUCUUUCUACCUAAACUCGCUUGAAAUCACCUUCCGAUUCUCGUGUAUCUGGUGCCAACUUGUUGGGGGUGUUUUGGCUCAAGAGCUCGAAUUGUCGCUGAAAGCUAUGGCUUCGAUUGGAGCAGAUCUGUGCCGCAAAAUCUACCCCGAGCCGGUCGACCACUUCGAUCGGUUGCCGGACUCUCUCAUCCUCUUGAUCUUCAAUAAAAUCGGAGACGUGAAGGCGCUGGGCCGAUGCUGCGUCGUUUCGAGGCGGUUCCACUCGCUCGUUCCCCAAGUCGACAACGUCGUAGUCCGCGUCGACUGCGUCAUCUCCGAUGACGAUCCUUCCUCCAACUCUUCUUCGUCCGCAUCCGGUUCCGCCGCCGGCGACAAGUCGCGCCACCCUAUCUCCUCCCUCUUCCGCAUCUUCUUCUCCGGGAUCUUCAAACCCUUGCAGUCCCUGUCUCAGCUCAUCACCCCCUCGGCGCGCCGGCUUCCUCUUUCGGAGGUAUUUCGACUGCGAAGCGGAGCAGAGCACCGUCACACACCAUUCGCCGACGCAGGUCUUGAAGAAUUCAACGAGAUCAAGCUGCUCAGGAUAGAGCCUCCCCGACGGGGGAGCUGGGGAUUGAUGAAGGCGUUUUGCUCAAAUGGAAGCGGAAUUCGGCUCCACGCUUGACAGCUGCGUGAUUCUCGGAGCUUCGAGCGUCGUGCAGAGUGCAAAUAGCGGCUACAAUUGCCUGGGCGCUUGCAAUACCGCAAUUGGUGGUGAUAGUGGAGUGGAGAACGAUAAUGGUAGCAUACCGGAAUCGUUCUACACCAACGGAGGCCUGAAGCUGCGCGUUGUGUGGACCAUCAGCUCGUUGAUCGCCGCCUCCGCCAGGCAUUACCUUCUGCAGCCUAUAAUAGCGGAGCACAAGACGCUCUCGAGCUUGGUUUUGACGGAUGCUGAUGGGCAAGGGGUGCUGUCUAUGAAUAAGGAGCAGCUGGAGGAGCUGAGGGUGAAGCCUCUGUCAGCGUCGUCGGCUUCGAAGAGGACUCUUGUUCCGGCUCUCAACAUGCGUUUGUGGUAUGCUCCUCAUCUCGAGUUGCCUAACGGGGUGGUCUUGAAAGGAGCGACUCUGGUUGCGAUCCGGCCGAGCGAGCAGCCCAAGAAGGAGGUGGCGGGAUCGGAGGCAAAUUGGGUUGCAUCGGCGUUUGAGGAGCCAUUUGGGACUGCUGCAAGGAUGUUGGUGAAGAGGAGGACCUACUGCCUCGAAAUGAACUCUUUCUGAAGGAGGUGGCUUAUCUAAGGAUGAAGAGACAGAUGCAUGAGGUAUUUUCUCUUUUUUCUCUUUUUUUACAGAAUCCUUUAAUAAGUUUUGAUUGUUUCGGAGAUCUGUGGUUGAAUGCUAGCUAGUAUAUUGUAAUUCUUCAUUCUGUUGCUUUUUAUCUUAGGUUCGAAGUUGAAUUGUCUCUUGUUUGUUUAUUCUUAUUGCUGUUUCAAUGAUAAUAAAUUACUCUGUCUUGGUUUCUGAAAAUCAUGAGCAAUUUCUCAUACCAAUUGCUUCUGAUUUUUCCCUAAAUUGCAUAUUGGAUUCCCAAUUACAUAAGAGGGGUGCUUGAAGCUAUUGACUCCCUUUGCAUCUGUCUUAUUCCAAAGAGUUUUUCCACUCUGAUUCCAAUUGCGUCCUGAUUUUGGAUCCACUAUGUUGUUAUCUUGCAGUCUGUCACAUUCCCUUCAAUUUUGUUGGUUCAUAAUUUUUUUACUCCAAAUGAAGAAGAAUCAGAAGAUGCUUGUUGUGAACUACUUGAUCUGUUCUUUAUCUUAUCUAAUGGGAAUUGAAGGGCACUGUGUAUCUCCAUUGCUAGAAAGAUUGGUGGAAAUUUCAUUCUGCUAUGAUGCAUCUGUUUGGUUUUUAUACUCCUUACGUUUCUCAGUUAACCAUUUUAUAUCUAAGCUGUUGUGAGAGUGACUCUUGACCAGUUUCCUGUUUGAAUACUAGUUUUUGGGAAAUUCUGUGCUGCAACUGCGACAUCACCAUCUGUUUUAAGCUUUGAUUUCUUGAAUCCGUUUUAUAUCAGUGAUCCUGACUUCCUUAUUCAAGUAUCUUUCAGGUAAGCGAAGGUAAGGUCCCAAAAUCGCAGAGUGCAAAUUUUGUCUUGAGCAGAGCAAGCUGCAAGCGAGUUGCCGGCAAN
RNAcentral lists this long non-coding RNA (5857 nucleotides) under Salvia miltiorrhiza (redroot sage). RNAcentral describes it as "long non-coding RNA (SMIL_LNC006343)". Lineage: Eukaryota; Viridiplantae; Streptophyta; Magnoliopsida; Lamiales; Lamiaceae. The record is from RNAcentral.